GGAUGUUUUACUGCUCUAUAGUCUAUAGUAGUAGCCGACCAACGGUCGGUGCCAACGUCUGCUCUGUUGAUCCAUCUGAAUGGACGGCUUUUACACCAUGUUCAAUUGUUCAUGGACGGCUUGUACACCAGUGAAAUUGGGAAAAGACGGCUUGUACACCACCUGAAAAAAGUCGUCCAUUACUAAGCCAUCCCUGGCUGAUGCAUCAUCGUCUGAUGCAUUGUCCGAGCUUUUAUAUCUUAAGUGUUUGAACAAGAAAUUACAUGGAGAGGAAGCUUCAGUUUGGUACUUGAUUUGUCCCUUUGUUGGGCAAGAUGGAAAAAGAUCAGUGUUCGGAUCAAAAAUAGUAUUCCCAUGCUUUUCCUUGAAAUCCUGUGAUGCUCACUGUUGUGGCGGAAUUAUCUCAUUUGUUCGUUUUCGAAUUACAUGCGUCAUUUCUGCUAGAAUAGAAAACUGAUUACCAGAUCAUACAUCGAAAUGUUUGAAGACGUUUUCCUUGUUGACAAGACGUCUUGAUGUCGGUAACACCUUAUUUAUCGAAUGUAUGAUUGCAAACGAUGAAUUUUCUCAAAUUCCAUCAGCUGAUAGUUUUCAACGUUUGCAUUGGAAGGAAGGGAAAUGUAAAUAAUUAUAAAGAAUGUCGUUGCCUCGGUAGCAGACCGUUUGACACCACCUAUCUAUCAUUGAAGAGAGAACACCAAAAUAUUUUAGUUACAAACUGUGACAGGAAAAACUGCGAAAAAGAUAUAUGGACUAGAGCAUGUCUGAUCAUCGAGAAAAUCGUUUGCGUGUUAACUUAUAGAACAUCUGAGUUGGCACUGGAAGAAAUUUAAAACUUUUGGAAAUAUAAAGUUUAUAGAAGGUGGAAAUUUGCAUUGUAAAUGAAAUGGUUUUUUAAGUACUUGUCUCUAGAUUACUAAAUGAUAGUUCAAGUUGGUAUAUCUUUAAAUGGACCUGCUCUUAGAUAAUAAUCAAUACACAGAUAUAUAAAAGGAA
This is a long non-coding RNA of Daphnia magna, 996 nucleotides long. RefSeq lists it as uncharacterized. NCBI's taxonomy places the organism in Eukaryota, Metazoa, Arthropoda, Branchiopoda, Diplostraca, Daphniidae. The record is from RefSeq and is a predicted model, not a curated record. The transcript has 6 exons.